RNAcentral lists this long non-coding RNA (237 nucleotides) under Gallus gallus (chicken). The record is from RNAcentral. Lineage: Eukaryota; Metazoa; Chordata; Aves; Galliformes; Phasianidae.
AUUUGUCUGUGCUGGUCCCUGGUUUGUUGUUCCUGUAGUAGUAGCAUCUAUUUUUGUUCCUCUGAUAUCCUGCUUGGAAGAUAAAUUUUCUGAGAAGCUUGUUUUGCUGUUCUGUACAGCAUCUCGAAGAACUUUGCAAUGAAGAUCAUCAACAAUGGCUGCUGGAUGUCGAGAGCUAGCACAGUGCACCAUUGCUUCUAUGUACCUGUCCAAUGCCUCUGCUACAAGAGGGGUCAG